GCAGUCGAGCGGUAGAGAGGUGCUUGCACCUCUUGAGAGCGGCGGACGGGUGAGUAAAGCCUAGGAAUCUGCCUGGUAGUGGGGGAUAACGCUCGGAAACGGACGCUAAUACCGCAUACGUCCUACGGGAGAAAGCAGGGGACCUUCGGGCCUUGCGCUAUCAGAUGAGCCUAGGUCGGAUUAGCUAGUUGGUGAGGUAAUGGCUCACCAAGGCGACGAUCCGUAACUGGUCUGAGAGGAUGAUCAGUCACACUGGAACUGAGACACGGUCCAGACUCCUACGGGAGGUAGCAGUGGGGAAUAUUGGACAAUGGGCGAAAGCCUGAUCCAGCCAUGCCGCGUGUGUGAAGAAGGUCUUCGGAUUGUAAAGCACUUUAAGUUGGGAGGAAGGGCAUUAACCUAAUACGUUAGUGUUUUGACGUUACCGACGGAAUAAGCACCGGCUAACUCUGUGCCAGCAGCCGCGGUAAUACAGAGGGUGCAAGCGUUAAUCGGAAUUACUGGGCGUAAAGCGCGCGUAGGUGGUUCGUUAAGUUGGAUGUGAAAUCCCCGGGCUCAACCUGGGAACUGCAUUCAAAACUGUCGAGCUAGAGUAUG
This 597-nucleotide ribosomal RNA is filed under the name uncultured bacterium. Its description in RNAcentral is "bacterial SSU rRNA". It matches the Rfam family "Bacterial small subunit ribosomal RNA", at positions 57 to 650 of the family's 1533-position model. The record is from RNAcentral.